Molecule: unclassified non-coding RNA, 353 nt
Filed under: soil metagenome
Description: partial contains 5.8S ribosomal RNA, internal transcribed spacer 2, and large subunit ribosomal RNA
Rfam family: 5.8S ribosomal RNA (bases 1-120)
Source: RNAcentral
GAUGAAGAACGUAGCGAAAUGCGAUAAGUAAUGUGAAUUGCAGAAUUCAGUGAAUCAUCGAUUCUUUGAACGCACAUUGCGCCCGCCAGUAUUCUGGCGGGCAUGCCUGUUCGAGCGUCAUUACAACCCUCAGGCCCCCGGGCCUGGCGUUGGGGAUCGGCGGAAGCCCCCUGCGGGCACAACGCCGUCCCCCAAAUACAGUGGCGGUCCCGCCGCAGCUUCCAUUGCGUAGUAGCUAACACCUCGCAACUGGAGAGCGGCGCGGCCACGCCGUAAAACACCCAACUUCUGAAUGUUGACCUCGAAUCAGGUAGGAAUACCCGCUGAACUUAAGCAUAUCAAUAAGCGGAGGA